GACUCUGCAAUGGUCUAUUAUCAGG
This 25-nucleotide non-coding RNA is filed under the name Cricetulus griseus (Chinese hamster). The record is from RNAcentral. Lineage: Eukaryota; Metazoa; Chordata; Mammalia; Rodentia; Cricetidae.